This 467-nucleotide ribosomal RNA is filed under the name uncultured bacterium. Its description in RNAcentral is "partial 16S ribosomal RNA". It matches the Rfam family "Bacterial small subunit ribosomal RNA", at positions 29 to 507 of the family's 1533-position model. The record is from RNAcentral.
ACGCACGCUGGCUGCGUGCUUCACCCCUGCCAGUCGCACGGAAAGGCCCUGCUUUUGUGGGGUGCUCGAGUGGCGAACGGGUGAGUAACACGUGAGUAACCUGCCCUUGACUUUGGGAUAACUUCAGGAAACUGGGGCUAAUACCGGGUAGGAGCUCCUGCUGCAUGGUGGGGGUUGGAAAGUUUCGGCGGUUGGGGAUGGACUCGCGGCUUAUCAGCUUGUUGGUGGGGUAGUGGCUUACCAAGGCUUUGACGGGUAGCCGGCCUGAGAGGGUGACCGGCCACAUUGGGACUGAGAUACGGCCCAGACUCCUACGGGAGGCAGCAGUGGGGAAUAUUGCACAAUGGGCGGAAGCCUGAUGCAGCAACGCCGCGUGCGGGAUGACGGCCUUCGGGUUGUAAACCGCUUUCGCCUGUGACGAAGCGUGAGUGACGGUAAUGGGUAAAGAAGCACCGGCUAACUACGUG